GCCUGCCCGUGACCAAAGGUUUAACGGCCGCGGUAUUUUGACCGUGCAAAGGUAGCGCAAUCACUUGUCUCUUAAAUGGGGACCCGUAUGAAUGGCAUAACGAGGGCUUAGCUGUCUCCUUUUUCAAGUCAAUGAAAUUGAUCUCCCCGUGCAGAAGCGGGGAUGACCACAUAAGACGAGAAGACCCUAUGGAGCUUUAGACACCAAGACAGACCAUGUCAAACACCCCAGAUCAAAGGGCCAAACUAAAUGGGACCCUGUCCUAAUGUCUUCGGUUGGGGCGACCGCGGGGAAACAUAAAACCCCCACGUGGAAAGGGAGCACAACCCUCCUACAACCAAGAGCUUCCGCUCUACUAAACAGAACUUCUGACCUUAAGAUCCGGCAAAGCCGAUCAACGGACCAAGUUACCCUAGGGAUAACAGCGCAAUCCCCUUCUAGAGCCCAUAUCGACAAGGGGGUUUACGACCUCGAUGUUGGAUCAGGACAUCCUAAUGGUGCAGCCGCUAUUAAGGGUUCGUUUGUUCAACGAUUAAAGUCCUACGUGAU
Molecule: ribosomal RNA, 549 nt
Filed under: Plectorhinchus vittatus (Indian Ocean oriental sweetlips)
Lineage: Eukaryota; Metazoa; Chordata; Actinopteri; Lutjaniformes; Haemulidae
Description: partial 16S ribosomal RNA
Rfam family: Bacterial large subunit ribosomal RNA
Source: RNAcentral